CCUACGGGACGCACCAGUAGGGAAUAUUGCACAAUGGGCGCAAGCCUGAUGCAGCCAUGCCGCGUGUGUGAAGAAGGCCUUCGGGCUAUAAAGCACUUUCAGCGGGGAGGAAGGCGGUGAGGUUAAUAACCUCACCGAUUGACGUUACCCGCAGAAGAAGCACCGGCUAACUCCGUGCCAGCAGCCGCGGUAAUACGGAGGGUGCAAGCGUUAAUCGGAAUUACUGGGCGUAAAGCGCACGCAGGCGGUCUGUCAAGUCGGAUGUGAAAUCCCCGGGUUCAACCUGGGAACUGCAUUCGAAACUGGCAGGCUAGAGUCUUGUAGAGGGGGGUAGAAUUCCAGGUGUAGCGGUGAAAUGCGUAGAGAUCUGGAGGAAUACCGGUGGCGAAGGCGGCCCCCUGGACAAAGACUGACGCUCAGGUGCGAAAGCGUGGGGAGCAGACAGGAUUAGAUACCCUCGUAGUC
This 465-nucleotide ribosomal RNA is filed under the name uncultured bacterium. RNAcentral's name for it is "bacterial SSU rRNA". It matches the Rfam family "Bacterial small subunit ribosomal RNA", at positions 338 to 795 of the family's 1533-position model. The record is from RNAcentral.